GAUGAACGCUAGCGGGAGGCUUAACACAUGCAAGUCGCGGGGCAGCAUGAUGUAGCAAUACAUUGAUGGCGACCGGCGCACGGGUGAGUAACGCGUAUGCAACCUGCCCAGUACAGGGGGAUAGCCCGGAGAAAUUCGGAUUAAUACCCCAUAAUGAUAAGAGAUGGCAUCAUUUUUUAUUUAAAGUUACGGCGGUACUGGAUGGGCAUGCGUGACAUUAGCUAGUUGGUAGGGUAACGGCCUACCAAGGCAUCGAUGUCUAGGGGUCCUGAGAGGGUGAUCCCCCACACUGGUACUGAGACACGGACCAGACUCCUACGGGAGGCAGCAGUGAGGAAUAUUGGUCAAUGGGCGCAAGCCUGAACCAGCCAUCCCGCGUGAAGGAAGAAUGCGCUAUGCGUUGUAAACUUCUUUUCCAGGGGAAUAAAAUUUCGUACGAGUACGGGACUGAAGGUACCUUGGGAAUAAGCAUCGGCUAACUCCGUG
Molecule: ribosomal RNA, 486 nt
Filed under: uncultured organism
Description: bacterial SSU rRNA
Rfam family: Bacterial small subunit ribosomal RNA
Source: RNAcentral